RNAcentral lists this ribosomal RNA (1301 nucleotides) under Staphylococcus gallinarum. Its description in RNAcentral is "bacterial SSU rRNA". It matches the Rfam family "Bacterial small subunit ribosomal RNA", at positions 64 to 1332 of the family's 1533-position model. Lineage: Bacteria; Bacillati; Bacillota; Bacilli; Caryophanales; Staphylococcaceae. The record is from RNAcentral.
GAGCGAACAGAUAAGGAGCUUGCUCCUUUGACGUUAGCGGCGGACGGGUGAGUACACACGUGGGUAACCUUACCUAUAAGAGCUGGAAUAACUCCGGGAAACCGGGGCUAAUGCCGGAUAACCAUAUAGAACCGCAUGGUUCUAUAGUGAAAGAUGGUUUUGCUAUCACUUAUAGAUGAACCCGCGCCGUAUUAGCUAGUUGGUAAGGUAAUGGCUUACCAAGGCGACCGAUACGUAGCCGACCUGAGAGGGUGAUCGGCCACCACUGGAACUGAGACACGGUCCCAGACUCCUACGGGAGGCAGCAGUAGGGAAUCUUCCGCAAUGGGCGAAAGCCUGACGGAGCAACGCCGCGUGAGUGAUGAAGGGUUUCGGCUCGUAAAACUCUGUUAUUAGGGAAGAACAUAUGUGUAAGUAACUGUGCACAUCUUGACGGUACCUAAUCAGAAAGCCACGGCUAACUACGUGCCAGCAGCCGCGGUAAUACGUAGGUGGCAAGCGUUAUCCGGAAUUAUUGGGCGUAAAGCGCGCGUAGGCGGUUUCUUAAGUCUGAUGUGAAAGCCCACGGCUCAACCGUGGAGGGUCAUUGGAAACUGGGAAACUUGAGUGCAGAAGAGGAAAGUGGAAUUCCAUGUGUAGCGGUGAAAUGCGCAGAGAUAUGGAGGAACACCAGUGGCGAAGGCGACUUUCUGGUCUGUAACUGACGCUGAUGUGCGAAAGCGUGGGGAUCAAACAGGAUUAGAUACCCUGGUAGUCCACGCCGUAAACGAUGAGUGCUAAGUGUUAGGGGGUUUCCGCCCCUUAGUGCUGCAGCUAACGCAUUAAGCACUCCGCCUGGGGAGUACGACCGCAAGGUUGAAACUCAAAGGAAUUGACGGGGACCCGCACAAGCGGUGGAGCAUGUGGUUUAAUUCGAAGCAACGCGAAGAACCUUACCAAAUCUUGACAUCCUUUGACCACCUCUAGAGAUAGAGCUUUCCCCUUCGGGGGACAAAGUGGACAGGUGGUGCAUGGUUGUCGUCAGCUCGUGUCGUGAGAUGUUGGGUUAAGUCCCGCAACGAGCGCAACCCUUUAAGCUUAGUUGCCAUCAUUAAGUUGGGCACUCCUAGGUUGACUGCCGGUGACAAACCGGAGGAAGGUGGGGAUGACGUCAAAUCAUCAUGCCCCUUAUGAUUUGGGCUACACACGUGCUACAAUGGACAAUACAAAGGGCAGCUAAACUCGCGAGGUCUAGUGCAAAUCCCAUAAAGUUGUUCUCAGUUCGGAUUGUAGUCUGCAACUCGACUACAUGAAGCUGGAAU